AGCGAACGCUGGCGGCAGGCCUAACACAUGCAAGUCGAACGAAGUCUUCGGACUUAGUGGCGGACGGGUGAGUAACACGUGGGGACGUGCCUUUAGGUUCGGAAUAACUCAGGGAAACUUGUGCUAAUACCGAAUGUGCCCUUCGGGGGAAAGAUUUAUCGCCUUUAGAGCGGCCCGCGUCUGAUUAGCUAGUUGGUGAGGUAAAGGCUCACCAAGGCGACGAUCAGUAGCUGGUCUGAGAGGAUGAUCAGCCACAUUGGGACUGAGACACGGCCCAAACUCCUACGGGAGGCAGCAGUGGGGAAUCUUGCGCAAUGGGCGAAAGCCUGACGCAGCCAUGCCGCGUGAAUGAUGAAGGUCUUAGGAUUGUAAAAUUCUUUCACCGGGGACGAUAAUGACGGUACCCGGAGAAGAAGCCCCGGCUAACUUCGUGCCAGCCGCCGCUGUAA
This 449-nucleotide ribosomal RNA is filed under the name uncultured bacterium. RNAcentral describes it as "partial 16S ribosomal RNA". It matches the Rfam family "Bacterial small subunit ribosomal RNA", at positions 29 to 523 of the family's 1533-position model. The record is from RNAcentral.